UAAAACACAAUUUUAUCUUUGUUUGUUUAUAUGGACACACUAUAAAUAUGUCAUGCUAACGCUAGAACGGUUUAGAAAUCUUGUGACACAUUUCCGAGUGAAAUCUGUAAGAAAAUUAAAAAAAAAAAUAAAAUAAAAUAAAAUGACUAAGCUUUUAUUGCUUUUUUACUUUGCUCUCUUGACAUUGACUUGUGUCAUGGCUUGUUUACAACCAGGCCAGUCUUGUUCCAACAGUAACCAGUGCUGUGGUUUGUUGAUAUGCAACCCUUGGGCUAAUCGUUGCACAAAGGGUGGAAACUGGCCAUUGGCUGACGCUAACAGUGAUGGCAACCAGUAAUCACAAUGAGCUUACUGACAUUUCCAUGUUAUUUCGUAGGCUUACAAUCAAAUAUACAUUUUUUGUCAAUUAAUCCUAUACAAUGACUUCUUUAAUUUGACUUAUUGUUUAAUUGGAAAAUAUAUAUGUAUUAUUAAAAACAAAUUUUUUUUUU
Molecule: long non-coding RNA, 491 nt
Organism: Vespa velutina
Lineage: Eukaryota; Metazoa; Arthropoda; Insecta; Hymenoptera; Vespidae
Exons: 3
Source: RefSeq, a predicted model, not a curated record